ACUUGAUGGGGAUAAAAACCUAAUUCCCUGUCCCGACUAGGAUGGGGAUAAAAUCCGGAGAACAUGAUGGGGAGUGAAAUUUGGGGAUGGGGAUAAGCCCCAUCCCCAUCCCCAUCCCGUUGCCGUUCCUAUGUUAGAUGUGCUAUGUAGUUCAAUUACAAGACAUGUUAGAAGCUCAAAAAGUUAGUUAUUGUUGCCUGCAUUGGCAUCUCAAUUGGUUCAUGAGUGUUAGAUUGUGGACGAGGGCAUCAAACCAAGCCUGGCAACCGCAGACUCGUAAUAUGAGAGUUACACCCAAUGUGGUGGGUUGUGGGCACCCAGCAUUGGUCCUCCCACAGUCCCAUCUAAUGGGCCGCUAAGUCACCGUGAUUCACUCAUCUACUACCAUGUUGGACCGGGGUGUGGGGGCUAUGGGGGUGGGGAAUUUUGCUUGUCUGGGUAAGUUAGUCAUUAUUGCUUGCUCGUAACAAUAAGUAAAUCACAUGUCAAACUGGGAAAUGUUUG
Ipomoea nil (Japanese morning glory) is the source of this 504-nucleotide long non-coding RNA. RefSeq lists it as uncharacterized. The record is from RefSeq and is a predicted model, not a curated record. Lineage: Eukaryota; Viridiplantae; Streptophyta; Magnoliopsida; Solanales; Convolvulaceae. The transcript is spliced from 3 exons.